GACGAACGCUGGCGGCGUGCUUAACACAUGCAAGUCGAACGGAAAGGCCCUGCUUUUGUGGGGUGCUCGAGUGGCGAACGGGUGAGUAACACGUGAGUAACCUGCCCUUGACUUUGGGAUAACUUCAGGAAACUGGGGCUAAUACCGGAUAGGAGCUCCUGCUGCAUGGUGGGGGUUGGAAAGUUUCGGCGGUUGGGGAUGGACUCGCGGCUUAUCAGCUUGUUGGUGGGGUAGUGGCUUACCAAGGCUUUGACGGGUAGCCGGCCUGAGAGGGUGACCGGCCACAUUGGGACUGAGAUACGGCCCAGACACCUACGGGGGGGAGAAGUGGGGAAUAUUGCACAAUGGGCGGAAGCGUGAUGCAGCAACGCCGCGUGCGGGAUGACGGCCUUCGGGUUGUAGACCGCUUUCGCCUGUGACGAAGCGUGAGUGACGGUAAUGGGUAAAGAAGCACCGGCUAACUACGUG
This 468-nucleotide ribosomal RNA is filed under the name uncultured bacterium. Its description in RNAcentral is "partial 16S ribosomal RNA". It matches the Rfam family "Bacterial small subunit ribosomal RNA", at positions 28 to 507 of the family's 1533-position model. The record is from RNAcentral.